GAGUUCGAUCUUGGCUCAGGAUGAACGCUGGCGGCAUGCCUUACACAUGCAAGUCGGACAGGAAGUGGUGUUUUUAGCGGCAGACGGGUGAGUAACGCGUAAGAACCUGCCCUUGGGAGGGGAACAACAGCUGGAAACGGGUACUAAUACCCCAUAGGUUGAGGAGCAAAAGGAGGAAUCCGCCCGAGGAGGGGCUCGCGUCUGAUUAGCUAGUUGGGGGGGCAAUAGCUUCCCAAGGCGAUGAUCAGUAGCUGGUCCGAGAGGAUGAUCAGCCACACUAGGACUGAGACACAACCCAGACUCCUACGAGAGGCAGCAGUGGGGAAUUUUAUGCAAUGGGCGAAAGCUUGACGGAACAAUGCCGCAUGGAGGUAGAAGGCCUAAAUCCCUUCUAUCCCACUUCACACCUCGGAACGCACCGUUCUUAUAGAGAGAAGCGCUUUCA
Lupinus angustifolius (narrow-leaved blue lupine) is the source of this 445-nucleotide ribosomal RNA. It matches the Rfam family "Bacterial small subunit ribosomal RNA", at positions 9 to 546 of the family's 1533-position model. The record is from Rfam. NCBI's taxonomy places the organism in Eukaryota, Viridiplantae, Streptophyta, Magnoliopsida, Fabales, Fabaceae.